GCCUUGAUAGUAUAAACAUUACACUGGUCUUGUAAACCAGAAACGAAGACUUAAUUCUUCUCAAGACA
This 68-nucleotide transfer RNA is filed under the name Micromys erythrotis. RNAcentral's name for it is "tRNA-Thr". It matches the Rfam family "tRNA". Rfam says of the family: Transfer RNA (tRNA) molecules are approximately 80 nucleotides in length. The record is from RNAcentral. Lineage: Eukaryota; Metazoa; Chordata; Mammalia; Rodentia; Muridae.